AGAGUUUGAUCCUGGCUCAGAUUGAACGCUGGCGGCAGGCCUAACACAUGCAAGUCGAACGGUAACAGGAAGCAGCUUGCUGCUUCGCUGACGAGUGGCGGACGGGUGAGUAAUGUCUGGGAAACUGCCUGAUGGAGGGGGAUAACUACUGGAAACGGUGGCUAAUACCGCAUAACGUCGCAAGACCAAAGAGGGGGACCUUCGGGCCUCUUGCCAUCAGAUGUGCCCAGAUGGGAUUAGCUAGUUGGUGAGGUAACGGCUCACCAAGGCGACGAUCCCUAGCUGGUCUGAGAGGAUGACCAGCCACACUGGAACUGAGACACGGUCCAGACUCCUACGGGAGGCAGCAGUGGGGAAUAUUGCACAAUGGGCGCAAGCCUGAUGCAGCCAUGCCGCGUGUAUGAAGAAGGCCUUCGGGUUGUAAAGUACUUUCAGCGGGGAGGAAGGUGUUGUGGUUAAUAACCACAGCAAUUGACGUUACCCGCAGAAGAAGCACCGGCUAACUCCGUGCCAGCAGCCGCGGUAAUACGGAGGGUGCAAGCGUUAAUCGGAAUUACUGGGCGUAAAGCGCACGCAGGCGGUCUGUCAAGUCGGAUGUGAAAUCCCCGGGCUCAACCUGGGAACUGCAUUCGAAACUGGCAGGCUUGAGUCUUGUAGAGGGGGGUAGAAUUCCAGGUGUAGCGGUGAAAUGCGUAGAGAUCUGGAGGAAUACCGGUGGCGAAGGCGGCCCCCUGGACAAAGACUGACGCUCAGGUGCGAAAGCGUGGGGAGCAAACAGGAUUAGAUACCCUGGUAGUCCACGCCGUAAACGAUGUCUACUUGGAGGUUGUGCCCUUGAGGCGUGGCUUCCGGAGCUAACGCGUUAAGUAGACCGCCUGGGGAGUACGGCCGCAAGGUUAAAACUCAAAUGAAUUGACGGGGGCCCGCACAAGCGGUGGAGCAUGUGGUUUAAUUCGAUGCAACGCGAAGAACCUUACCUGGUCUUGACAUCCACAGAACUUUCCAGAGAUGGAUUGGUGCCUUCGGGAACUGUGAGACAGGUGCUGCAUGGCUGUCGUCAGCUCGUGUUGUGAAAUGUUGGGUUAAGUCCCGCAACGAGCGCAACCCUUAUCCUUUGUUGCCAGCGGUCCGGCCGGGAACUCAAAGGAGACUGCCAGUGAUAAACUGGAGGAAGGUGGGGAUGACGUCAAGUCAUCAUGGCCCUUACGACCAGGGCUACACACGUGCUACAAUGGCGCAUACAAAGAGAAGCGACCUCGCGAGAGCAAGCGGACCUCAUAAAGUGCGUCGUAGUCCGGAUUGGAGUCUGCAACUCGACUCCAUGAAGUCGGAAUCGCUAGUAAUCGUGGAUCAGAAUGCCACGGUGAAUACGUUCCCGGGCCUUGUACACACCGCCCGUCACACCAUGGGAGUGGGUUGCAAAAGAAGUAGGUAGCUUAACCUUCGGGAGGGCGCUUACCACUUUGUGAUUCAUGACUGGGGUGAAGUCGUAACAAGGUAGCC
Molecule: ribosomal RNA, 1503 nt
Filed under: Salmonella sp.
Lineage: Bacteria; Pseudomonadati; Pseudomonadota; Gammaproteobacteria; Enterobacterales; Enterobacteriaceae
Description: bacterial SSU rRNA
Rfam family: Bacterial small subunit ribosomal RNA
Source: RNAcentral